CAGUCGCCGCGGUAAUACGUAGGUGGCAAGCGUUGUCCGGAAUUAUUGGGCGUAAAGGGCUCGCAGGCAGUUUCUUAGGUCUGAUGUGAAAGCCCCCGGCUCAACCGGGGAGGGUCAUUGGAAACUGGGAAACUUGAGUGCAGAAGAGGAGAGUGGAAUUCCACGUGUAGCGGUGAAAUGCGUAGAGAUGUGGAGGAACACCAGUGGCGAAGGCGACUCUCUGGUCUGUAACUGACGCUGAGGAGCGAAAGCGUGGGGAGCGAACAGGAUUAGAUACCCCGGUAGUCCCUGUCUCUUAUAA
Molecule: ribosomal RNA, 301 nt
Filed under: uncultured bacterium
Lineage: Bacteria
Description: partial 16S ribosomal RNA
Rfam family: Bacterial small subunit ribosomal RNA
Source: RNAcentral